UGGGAAUCUGCCUUUUGGUUCGGAAUAACACGGGGAAACUUGUGCUAAUACCGAAUAAGCCCUUACGGGGAAAGUUUUAAUGCCAAAAGAUGAGCCCGCACUUGAUUAGCUAGUUGGUAAGGUAAAAGCUUACCAAGGCAACGAUCAAUAGCUGUUCUUAGAGGAAGACCAGCCACAUUGGGACUGAGACACGGCCCAGACUCCUACGGGAGGCAGCAGUGGGGAAUCUUGCACAAUGGGGGAAACCCUGAUGCAGCGAUGCCGCGUGAGUGAAGAAGGCCCUUGGGUUGUAAAACUCUUUCGUCGGGGAAGAAAAUGACUGUACCCGAAUAAGAAGGUCCGGCUAACUUCGUGCCAGCAGCCGCGGUAAUACGAAGGGACCUAGCGUAGUUCGGAAUUACUGGGCUUAAAGAGCUCGUAGGUGGUUAAAAAAGUUGAUGGUGAAAUCCCAAGGCUCAACCUUGGAACUGCCAUCAAAACUUUUUAGCUAGAGUGUGAUAGAGGUAAGUGGAAUUUCUAGUGUAGAGGUGAAAUUCGUAGAUAUUAGAAAGAACACCAAAUGCGAAGGCAACUUACUGGGUCACUACUGACACUGAGGAGCGAAAGCAUGGGUAGCGAAGAGGAUUAGAUACCCUCGUAGUCCAUGCCGUAAACGAUGUGUGCUAGACGUUGGA
RNAcentral lists this ribosomal RNA (674 nucleotides) under uncultured bacterium. RNAcentral's name for it is "bacterial SSU rRNA". It matches the Rfam family "Bacterial small subunit ribosomal RNA", at positions 118 to 827 of the family's 1533-position model. The record is from RNAcentral.